CAGGCCUAACACAUGCAAGUCGCACGAGAAAUCUGGGGCUUGCUCCAGAGAGUAAAGUGGCGCACGGGUGAGUAACGCGUGGGUAAUCUACCCUGGGGUCUGGGAUAACUCACCGAAAGGUGGGCUAAUACCGGGUAAGACCACGGCUGCCCCGGCAGCAGGGGUAAGAAGGGGGCCUCUACAUGUAAGCUCCCGCCCAAGGAUGAGCCCGCGUACCAUUAGCUUGUUGGUAGGGUAACGGCCUACCAAGGCAACGAUGGUUAGCUGGUAUGAGAGGAUGGCCAGCCACACUGGAACUGGAACACGGUCCAGACUCCUACGGGAGGCAGCAGUGAGGAAGACUUGCGCAAUGGGGGAAACCCUGACGCAGCAACGCCGCGUGGGUGAAGAAGGCCUUCGGGGAGUAAAGCCCUGUCAAGUGGGAGGAACCACUACGGGUGCGAAGAGCAGCCGGGGACUGACGGGACCACUGAAGGAAGCACCGGCUAACUACCGUGCCAGCAGCCGCGG
This 510-nucleotide ribosomal RNA is filed under the name uncultured bacterium. Its description in RNAcentral is "bacterial SSU rRNA". It matches the Rfam family "Bacterial small subunit ribosomal RNA", at positions 43 to 520 of the family's 1533-position model. The record is from RNAcentral.